UACGGAGGGUGCGAGCGUUGUCCGGAAUCACUGGGCGUAAAGGGCGCGUAGGCGGCAUGCCAAGCGUGUGGUGAAAGCCCGGGGCUCAACCCCGGGUCGGCCGUGCGGACUGGCGUGCUCGAGCACUGUAGGGGCGGGUGGAAUUCCGGGUGUAGCGGUGGAAUGCGUAGAGAUCCGGAAGAACACCGGUGGCGAAGGCGGGUCUCUGGGCCAAAACUGACGCUGAGGAGCGAAAGCGUGGGGAGCGAACAGG
This 253-nucleotide ribosomal RNA is filed under the name uncultured bacterium. RNAcentral's name for it is "partial 16S ribosomal RNA". It matches the Rfam family "Bacterial small subunit ribosomal RNA", at positions 524 to 776 of the family's 1533-position model. The record is from RNAcentral.